This is a long non-coding RNA of Xiphophorus hellerii (green swordtail), 661 nucleotides long. RefSeq lists it as uncharacterized. The record is from RefSeq and is a predicted model, not a curated record. NCBI's taxonomy places the organism in Eukaryota, Metazoa, Chordata, Actinopteri, Cyprinodontiformes, Poeciliidae. The transcript is spliced from 2 exons.
GUGUUGGGAAGCAGGAGUUUUGGUUUCUGUGGGGCUGCUUUUCUUGUCUCUAGUUAUCCACUAGAUGGCGCCAGGAGGCUGUGUUGUCCAGAGGGCGGUCUCAGGUGUUCCGCCGUCACACCUGCAGCCUAUCUGUCAUCAGCCAGUGUUUAAGAGAAGCCUGUCACCAGUCCUUCGAUGCCUGAGUGUUGCCGUUCAUUGUGCUCUGUGCCCCUCAGUGUGUGCUCUCUCUGAGUUUUCUAAGUGUUUAACUCAAGCCUCCCUUGUGUUUUCCUUGUAGGUUCUCAGCAGCUGUUACCUUUGUGCCUUAUGAGUUUUAUCGGUUCACCUCCAAGAUUCUUCAUAAAGAAACCCCUGGUUCAUAAAUCCCUACGAUUGGUGACUAAUCUCUUGACUGUUCAAGUCUGUGCUACGACCUGUCCGCCCUCCAGUGAAGUACAACUAACAAACCAUCAUCGCCGCCCAUUCUUCCUGGAUCUCCUGGCUUCAGUUCCAACUCCAUCUGGACCCGGCACUCACCCUAGAAACCAGGCUCCAGCACCAGCACCUUCCCCUGGUGGAUCACUUCCAUUUCACUAAAUCCAGAUCUCCAGCCGUCCCAUACCCCGGGAAAAGAAGAUACAUUCCAACUCUUUUUACAAUAAACGUUAUUUAACUGACA